Podarcis lilfordi (Lilford's wall lizard) is the source of this 74-nucleotide non-coding RNA. NCBI's taxonomy places the organism in Eukaryota, Metazoa, Chordata, Lepidosauria, Squamata, Lacertidae. The record is from the annotation of a GenBank genome assembly.
GCCUCUGUGGUUUGAUGGGUCAGUGUGUCUGGCUAUUUACCAGAACGUUGCUGGUUCGAGCCCACCCAGGGAUU